ACAAGUCAUUGAUCUGUAUGCACUCGUCAAACAUGUUUAUAAUUGUGAUCUUCGUUGGCGGGAAUAACUAAGUUUUGGCACCCUCAAUCCCCCGAAAUUUGCAACAAAAAUUUCACCAAAAUUCUUUUCCCUCCACUGGAUUCUUAGCCGCGCCUUUUCCUAUAACACAACCCACGAAUAAAUUCAUUUGACAAAAGAUAACUAAUUAAACAAGAAAUAAUUUUCUUUCACCAAAAUCAUAAACCCAAACUUCUCUGACUGUUUAAUUACCCUAAACCGAAACCCAUCUUCAUCUGAAUGAUUUUUCUUCCACGCAAAGAUCGUCAUCAGCGUUGAGGAGUUUCUUCUACUUUACAUAAAGGGAUUUCUGAUGCUGGGAUGAGCUACUAGAUGCAUUUAGGCUAAUCUUUAAGAAACUAUCUCUUCAAUAUUUCUCUAUUGGGGUUCCUAGAGUCUGUAAAUCAUGAGGAAAAGUUGCUGCUGGACCUUAUUGAUGCUCUGAAGGAGCUUAACAUGGAUAAUUAUGAUGAGAAGAACAACUAGUUUACUGCUAGUAUUGUAUAUAGAGCUUUAUGACGAUAAUGCUUGAUAAGAUGUUGACAAUCAGAGUUUUGUGUAAUUGGAGUUUCUGUGGAGAAUGUGUUGAAGAUCGUAUACCAGACUCUAGCAAGCUUUCGUAUACGUCUAGUCAAUCGUUGUUUUGCCACUAUUGCUGGUCAUGUAGGCAAGGUUACUACCGCUGGAUUCAUCCCUGAUGGCAGGCAACUGGCUAGUGGUUCUGGUGAUAUAACUGUCCGUUUAUGGAUCCUACUUCUCAAACCCCCUAACUACACUUGUAUAGAUACAUUAUUCGAAUUGUUCUGAUUUGAAUUUCAUUGUAAUAGUAUGUUUUGCCCAACUAGUCGGUCGAAAUUUCAAUUGUGGCUGAAAUUGGUUUACCUUAGGCAACUAAUAUAUAUCAAGGCAAUUGGAUUGGCAUGCAAUCUGUUUGUUAGUGGUUGAGGCAGUCACUUUAUUCCCUUGAACACUUAAAGCUGUCUUUGGUAUCCACAUGCGUAAAUAACAUGUUGUCUACAAUCUUCAUAAUUGGUGACAGAUUUUCUAUGCAUGCCUUGGUUUUUGCAGGAUUUCUUUUUGGGAUGUCCUUUCAUUGGAGGACAUAAAUUUUUUGGAAUAUCUCUUAUGGUAGGAUCACUAUGGCUAUAUAUGCAGGGAUGGUUCAGUAAGGCAGGUGGUCUUGCGAAAAUGCGUUUGGCUUGUUUACCAUAACUAGCUUUCUUUCCAGCGUUUGGAUUGUUUAGCUUUUUUUCCCCUUUUCCAGGUGGUCUUGUGAAAAUGUGUAACCUCCAAACAAUGGAUAUUUUCAUUGUUUAGAGAGGAGAAUUCUGGAAAAAAAAUGUAAGUUCUAUCUCUGAACCUCCCGCCUUAAAACAUCUACUAGACAAAAAGUAAGUUCUUUGAGAAAGAUCCACUUGUGGAAUCUAAACAAUCUUAUGUGCACCUUUUGUAGUUCAUAGAACUUGAAACUUAACCACUAAUCGUGUGUAUGAUUUAUUCAAGAAUAUAUGGUAAUUAUUACACAUUCGGUUGACAAUUGUGCAUAGGUAAUAUAUAACCCUUACUUGCCAUCUCCUGAACAAAUUAAGGUCACUCAAAACUAUAGCACAACUGGAUCAAGUAUGGAAGAAAAACAUGUCAAGUCAGUAAAAGAGUCUUCUAAUAGUAGACAUAUAUUAGCAACAACUAUUCUGUGAUCAGAGAAAUUUAGUCAUGUUGAUGUUGUAACUGAUAUGGAAAUUGUUUGGUUUGAAAUAUGCCCCAUUGGACACGCAUUAGUUGUAAUUUUUUUUCCCUUAUACAGACACGCACAUAUUUUAAAAUUUUCCUGCAUUUGUGAAAUCAUACUGAAACAAGGGAAAAUAAAAGACUGGUGUUGCAGUACGAGGUGGUGUCGGUUGUUUUGUUUUUGUCGGUUAUGGAACCAAUGAAGCUGUUAGCUGUGUGAUGUAAGAGUCCGGAGCUUAGUACUGGAAAAUCCUAUUGUAG
This is a long non-coding RNA of Papaver somniferum (opium poppy), 2046 nucleotides long. RefSeq lists it as uncharacterized. The transcript is spliced from 4 exons. Lineage: Eukaryota; Viridiplantae; Streptophyta; Magnoliopsida; Ranunculales; Papaveraceae. The record is from RefSeq and is a predicted model, not a curated record.